RNAcentral lists this ribosomal RNA (460 nucleotides) under uncultured bacterium. Its description in RNAcentral is "partial 16S ribosomal RNA". It matches the Rfam family "Bacterial small subunit ribosomal RNA", at positions 338 to 795 of the family's 1533-position model. The record is from RNAcentral.
CCUACGGGUGGCAGCAGUGAGGAAUAUUGGUCAAUGGGCGUAAGCCUGAACCAGCCAAGUCGCGUGAGGGAUGAAGGAUCUAUGGAUCGUAAACUUCUUUUAUAAGGGAAUAAAGUGAGGGACGUGUCCAGUUUUGUAUGUACCCUAUGAAUAAGGAUCGGCUAACUCCGUGCCAGCAGCCGCGGUAAUACGGAGGAUCCGAGCGUUAUCCGGAUUUAUUGGGUUUAAAGGGUGCGUAGGUGGCUUUUUAAGUCAGCGGUGAAAGUGUGUGGCUCAACCAUAGAAUUGCCGUUGAAACUGGGAGGCUUGAGUUUGUGUGAGGUAGGCGGAAUGCGUGGUGUAGCGGUGAAAUGCUUAGAGAUCACGCAGAACCCCGAUUGCGAAGGCAGCCUGCUAAGCCAUAACUGACGCUGAUGCACGAAAGCGUGGGGAUCAAACAGGAUUAGAUACCCUUGUAGUC